GACGAACGCUGGCGGCGUGCUUAACACAUGCAAGUCGAACGGUAAGGCCCCUUCGGGGGUACACGAGUGGCGAACGGGUGAGUAACACGUGGGUGAUCUGCCCUGCACUCUGGGAUAAGCCUGGGAAACUGGGUCUAAUACCGGAUAUGACCUUGAACUGCAUGGUUCUUGGUGGAAAGGUUUACUGGUGCAGGAUGGGCCCGCGGCCUAUCAGCUUGUUGGUGGGGUAAUGGCCUACCAAGGCGACGACGGGUAGCCGGCCUGAGAGGGCGACCGGCCACACUGGGACUGAGACACGGCCCAGACUCCUACGGGAGGCAGCAGUGGGGAAUAUUGCACAAUGGGCGAAAGCCUGAUGCAGCGACGCCGCGUGAGGGAUGAAGGCCUUCGGGUUGUAAACCUCUUUCAGCAGGGACGAAGCGAGAGUGACGGUACCUGCAGAAGAAGCACCGGCUAACUACGUGCCAGCAGCCGCAGUAACAC
This 483-nucleotide ribosomal RNA is filed under the name uncultured bacterium. RNAcentral describes it as "bacterial SSU rRNA". It matches the Rfam family "Bacterial small subunit ribosomal RNA", at positions 28 to 526 of the family's 1533-position model. The record is from RNAcentral.